Suricata suricatta (meerkat) is the source of this 706-nucleotide long non-coding RNA. RefSeq lists it as uncharacterized. The transcript is spliced from 4 exons. Lineage: Eukaryota; Metazoa; Chordata; Mammalia; Carnivora; Herpestidae. The record is from RefSeq and is a predicted model, not a curated record.
AGGGCACCCACACUGCCCUGUGCAUAGGCAUUCAGUCAACAUCCCGGGAAUGUGGGUCCUCAGCCUUCCGACGGCAGCAGCCCUCUGCCUUCCAUCACGUAACCCCAGUACACAAGGUGAUCCGAGAGAAGCAGGAUUCCGUACAAUUGUUCCCAAAUCUCCCUUCUCCAUAACCACCAGGCACAACUCUCUGACACUAAAGACAAUUACAGUUGAGGUUCUUUGGCCUCCUCAGCCUUCUAGGGGAAGUGCUAUUGCUCUCUGAAACUUUCAAAUUGCAAAAUCACAAGGAAAAAAAAGAGGGAUGAGGAGGAUAAAAGUCAAACGGAGAGUCUUACGUCAAAGACUCUCCAGAAAGUUUGGAAAAGAAAAGUGUUAUGGCAGGCAUUGGUUCAUGGAGUGGCUUCAUCAAAAUUCCCAGGAUUAGCGUCUGAGCUCACCAAAUUCCUACUGAGUCAACAUCUUUAGAGACAAAGAGUUUGACCAGGUCCUGUAUUUUAUCUUACUGUGCGGCAUGGCCCUACCUUGGACCAUGCAACAAUGUACAUUGAAGAUGACACCAACUACAGAGCAGGAUUUGCCUGAGAAAAAUUCAUUUGACCAUUAUUCUCAAUGCAGAAUCCAUGUAAACUGAGUCUUUCAGAACCUUUUCUUGUAUUUCAUUAACUUGAGGGUAAAUUAUAGAUUUUCUGGGUUUAUUUUUUAA